CUAAAAUAUAAAAACGAUGACACAAAAUAUAAAAAUGAAAUCUGGAAGGAUCUAGAAGGAUUUUUAAGUAAUCAUAUUUACAGUUAUGGAAAACAUUUAAAUCUCUAAACUGUUGUUUGGGGGGUUGUGGUUUUUUAUUUUGCUUUUUUUUGAUUUGGGUUUUUUGUGUGUGUGUCAUAGAGAACAGAGCCAUUCCACAUGUGCAUCACUGUGUGACAGACACAGUAAGAAUAAUUCUUGAUGAUGCAUGUUUUACCUGCUUAGACAGUUAAAAUGUUAUUUUACUGUUUAUACUAAAGCACGGGUAAAUGUUGCACUAAGUUUGGAUCUCACUGUACUGGGUGCUACAGAAUAAGCAACCCUACCUGAGUCAAACAGUUUAUAGAUGAAGGUCCUGAGCCCAAUUUCUGUCAUGUCAGUGCCCUUGCUACACCUUUCAAGUCAAAGACCUUCAGAAGAUAGCAUAGCAGGUAGGUACAAUGAAAGCAAUCCAAGUAAGAAGUUAAUUACCAAUUACAGCUGCGUGUUCUGUACAGAUUAUUCGUGGUGAGUUAAUAACUGCUGCCCUGGCAAUCCAAACUGAUAUUGCCCUGGCUGUUGAUUUUCUAAAGCAUAUUUGUCCAUUUCAGAAUUGUGAGCAUGUAUAUGUAUACAUAAUGUAGAAUGAUGUACAUGCGUGCAGUAUUCCAAAUUUGUAUCAUCAUGUCAGAACAUGUAGAAAAAAAUGUCUAACUAUAUGGCCAUAUUCUACUGUUGGUGUGCCAGAGAAAAAGAAAUGUGCUCAAUUUCAUAUGAGUAAGUACAAAAGAACAGCAUGGGCUAGUCAAUCAGCAAGACAACAGAUUAAUCAGAAGUUAAUAAUAGUGAAAAAUGCUAACAAUAAAAGAAGCCCUUCUUCAACUUUAUAUUUUUUUUAUAACAAUCCUAUGCUAAUUGAAAAGAUGAAAACAGGCAAAGGAGAAAAAAGAAAUUUGUAGAUGAUAGUAAUUUAUGACCGUGUACUAAGAAUAGACAUACUCAUUAACACUGUGCAUGAGAAAAUCAGAUUACAUUACUGGAAAUCACAUUCAAUACUUUUUGCACAAGAGAAAAGAAUCUAGCAAGAGGUAAGUAAGGACUGUAAUUUAAAAACAGAAGAUUAUAUUCUUAUAUGCAUUCUUUUAAAUCCAUGAUAGAAGCUCAUAUAAAAAUGCAUUAGUUUGGAAUCUGAACAAAGCAUCAACAGGGGGACUGUUAAUAAUAAGCAUCAAUCUCUUGUUGAAAGGAACAUAGCAAUAUAAUAAUACUGAAAACAAUGGCAGAUGACAGAAGGCCAGAUAUCAAAUAAUAAGAUGUCAGAGCCCUGGAAAGCCUAAGUGCUUAAUCAUGAUUCUGUAGAACUCCAGGAGAGGUUUGCUAUUUUUUGCAAAGAAUGCAGGAUUCAAUCAUGGCUAUGCUUGAUUUAACAGGUUCUAAUGGACAAUAUUCUGAAUGUAAGGUAGAGUGAGAAAGCUAAGAAGUGGGCGAGGAAGCUAAUAAGGUUGAUAUACAUGCUAAUCAGAAGUAAAAUAUGAAUUUAUCAGGAAUACAUUUCCUCUCCAAUUUAUCCUGGCACAAUCCUCGUUGAGACAGUGACACUGUCUCACUCAACCAGUUCAACGAAAUGUUCAUAUGUUUGAGCAGGUGCAUAUGAGACAUGCAAAGAAACUUGGAAAUGACUGAAGAACUGGAAAUUUUUUCCCUGUGCUCAGAAAUAUUUAGCGAUCACUCCAUAUACUUGUCAAAAAGGUAGCUCAGGAGUGGCUUGAUGACAUGGAGUACAUGCUUCAGAAAACCUUGCACCUUUUCUGUCACCUGCAAGAAAUGUAUUGCUUCAUUAUUCAGAAUGAAAAGCCCUUUGGAGAUGAUGAAGACAUCGGAUUUUAUAUACUGGUGGACUGUUCUCUGCUGAGGGCCACAUACGCAGAACAAUGUAUAAAUGCAUCAGGGGCUAAAAAAUGAAGAGAUGAGCUGUUGCAGUCUCCAGGGCAGUUCAAAAAUCAUAGUUAAAAGCACAUAAGAACAACCUAACCUUGAACUUGGAAACGUCACUGUCCUAAGUGUAAACUAGCUACGGAGGAUAACAUGGAGAGAGAGAGGAUUUAUGCCACAGCAGGGAAUAUGUGGGCCAAUGACAGGGAUACAUCAUCUCUCCCAAAUCCUGGUUGUACCCAACUUGUCAGUACCAGUUACAGCUACUGUGCAUAUAGCAUUCAUGCUUUUCUGUUAAAUCAAGCAGAUCUUCUGUUGUGAUCUAAUGAAUUCACUUUCCAUAAUUAAAAUUAUUAAAAAGUCUUUGUUGAUGGUAUCUGACAUAAAUAAGAACACUGAAAGGCAUUUUCUGCAGGAGAACCCUCACCAAUAUUUGCCUGCAUUCUGCUGGCUCCCUGUGGUUUUAGUAAUACUAACAAAAUAGAACCUUAAUUUUAGAGGUUGGUCAGCUGUAGCAAAUAAACGUCAAAAGCAAUGAAAUGAGCUUACCGAAAACACACAAGAUUUCCUUUUGAAAAACUUAGGGAAACAUAAAAAGAUCAGAAACUUCUUGCCUCAAACAUGUAUCCAGAAUCAUCGAGUUCUUACUGAUGUUUUGAUACCAGAAUAGUAGCAAUAUAUUCUUCAGAUUUUCUUCACAACAGGAAGAGUGCAGUUAUUUGAGGCAGUUAAGGAAAAUCACAGAUCACACCAGCACUCCAAGCACUACUGCUGAACAAGAUAGCAGAUUGCAAUAUUGCUUCUUUCCUUGCUUCUUGCAGCACUGCACAUAAAUAGUCUGCAGAACAAAUGUUUCGCUUCAGAGUGGAAUUUUCUCCAUUCAUCAUCUGAUUAUUUUAUAAUUUUAUUAAUUAUAGUUCAUCUCAAUUCAGUGCCUCAUUAGAAGAACAGACAAUUUGGUGUUAUUGACAAAUGGUUGUGUGACACAUAUGGAUAAUCAAUUAUAGUAAUAUCCCAUGAAAUGACAGUGAAGCUAAAUGGAUUGAAAAUACCACCCUUCAUGGGCUUCCAACCUUCCAAAUGGGUUGACAUUUUGAAUGUCAACCAUGAAAGACAACCCAGCAGUAAGCAAUCUGUGAGUCAGACAGGUGUGUGGCACUCGCUUUUAACUUUCUGUGUAUAAAACAAUCCCCAGGUGAUUCUAUCUACACUGCUGUUGGAUGACAUCCCAUAAAUGACAGACUGUAGUGCCUAACAGGAACUUCCCACCUCAAGGAUUUAGCUAGCAAACCCCAGAAACAUAUCUGUAUUAUUCUGUAUCCCUUUUAUUAAUUUAUUUCCUAGUAAUUAAGAUAUUGAUUAAUUACUAUACAUAAUUACUCACAUUAGUAACCUAAUAAAAUAUUAGAUACAAAAUAAUCAUCCAUUUUCUUUAAAAAAGAGUACAUUGUUGUACAUUGUAUGUAACAACACUUGUUCUGAAUUUGCAAUUGAAGGAGCUACUCUAGUACGUGAUUUAUUAUCUCGUGGCCCACAUAGCUCACUCUGUGUCAUGGCAGGGGAUGAUUUAUUUACACGGUAUGAUAUAGAUCUACUUUGCAAAUACUUGCCAAACUAAACAAUAGUAAUAUUAGAAGGGGGAA
Molecule: long non-coding RNA, 3593 nt
Organism: Chiroxiphia lanceolata (lance-tailed manakin)
Lineage: Eukaryota; Metazoa; Chordata; Aves; Passeriformes; Pipridae
Exons: 3
Source: RefSeq, a predicted model, not a curated record